Paramuricea clavata is the source of this 340-nucleotide non-coding RNA. The record is from the annotation of a GenBank genome assembly. Lineage: Eukaryota; Metazoa; Cnidaria; Anthozoa; Malacalcyonacea; Plexauridae.
GCCCAUCAUGCUGUCAAGUGGCAAUCACUUACAAAGCAAGUCUAUAACCAAAUGUUUUACAACCUGAGGAACUUCUUAAAUCAAUUAUUCUAUAAUUUAUACAGAUACUACAAAAACACCUGGCAUCUUAAAUUUAUAUAGACAUUAGAUAACUCCAUUUACAAAAGCACAAAGACCACAGGCUACAACAUGUUGAGUGUUGACCAUAAUGUACUGUAUUGUUUAAAGCUUCAAGUUUUUAACACAAGCAAAAGCUGUCACCCCAAAGUUCUGGCAACAAUAUGUCAAUUUAACAAAACAAUGACAACGUGUGCGAUGAUUUCAUUCAGCCAAUUCUUUC